RNAcentral lists this ribosomal RNA (742 nucleotides) under uncultured Acidobacteriota bacterium. RNAcentral's name for it is "bacterial SSU rRNA". It matches the Rfam family "Bacterial small subunit ribosomal RNA", at positions 32 to 774 of the family's 1533-position model. The record is from RNAcentral. Lineage: Bacteria; Pseudomonadati; Acidobacteriota.
AACGCUGGCGGCGUGCCUAACACAUGCAAGUCGAACGAGAAAACGGGGGCAACCCUGUGAGUACAGUGGCAGACGGGUGAGUAACACGUGAACAAUCUACCCUCGAGUGGGGAAUAACUCCGCGAAAGCGGGGCUAAUACCGCAUAACGUCCCUGGUUCGCAUGAACUGGGGAUCAAAGGCUUCGGUCGCUUGAGGAGGAAUUCGCGCCUGAUUAGCUAGUUGGUGAGGUAACGGCCCACCAAGGCAACGAUCAGUAGCCGGCCUGAGAGGGCGUACGGCCACACUGGAACUGAGACACGGUCCAGACUCCUACGGGAGGCAGCAGUGGGGAAUUUUGCGCAAUGGGCGAAAGCCUGACGCAGCAACGCCGUGUGGAGGAUGAAGGCCUUCGGGUCGUAAACUCCUGUCAGGGGGGACGAAAAUUGCGAAAGCGAUCUGACUGUACCCUCUGAGGAAGCCACGGCUAACUCCGUGCCAGCAGCCGCGGUAAUACGGAGGUGGCAAGCGUUGUUCGGAAUUACUGGGCGUAAAGGGCGCGUAGGCGGCUUGGAAAGUCAGAUGUGAAAGCCCCGGGCUUAACUCGGGAAUUGCAUCUGAAACUUCUUUGCUUGAGUUCUGGAGGGGGUAGCGGAAUUCCCAGUGUAGCGGUGAAAUGCGUAGAUAUUGGGAGGAACACCAGCGGCGAAGGCGGCUACCUGGACAGUGACUGACGCUGAGGCGCGAAAGCUAGGGGAGCAAACG